GGGAUUUGGGGUUUCUUUUUUUAUUUUUUUUUAAUUUUGAGAAUGAAAAUUAUUAAAAUACCCUUAACCUUAAAACUUAGAAUUCAUGAUAUAUAGGGGUAUUUUUGUCUACUGAAACCCGGUACACAUUGCUAAAAUGUACCAACUGAAAAACAGGCGUACGCAAGUUAGCAAACCCCAUAUAUAUAAUAUUAUUUUAAUAUUUAAAAUUGUAACUAAAGAAAUUCAAUGUACUUUUCUAAUUCAACAACG
Molecule: long non-coding RNA, 252 nt
Filed under: Vigna radiata
Lineage: Eukaryota; Viridiplantae; Streptophyta; Magnoliopsida; Fabales; Fabaceae
Description: long non-coding RNA (VRAD_LNC004432)
Source: RNAcentral